This 487-nucleotide ribosomal RNA is filed under the name uncultured bacterium. RNAcentral's name for it is "partial 16S ribosomal RNA". It matches the Rfam family "Bacterial small subunit ribosomal RNA", at positions 28 to 507 of the family's 1533-position model. The record is from RNAcentral.
GAUGAACGCUAGCGAUAGGCUUAACACAUGCAAGUCGCGGGGCAGCACAAGGUAGCUUGCUAUCUGGGUGGCGACCGGCGCACGGGUGCGUAACGCGUAUGCAACUUGCCCUAUACAGGAGGAUAACCCGUCGAAAGACGGACUAAUACUGCGUAUGCUCACAACUUGGCAUCAAGUGGUGAGGAAAGAAAUUCGGUAUAGGAUAGGCAUGCGUCCCAUUAGCUUGUUGGUGAGGUAACGGCUCACCAAGGCAACGAUGGGUAGGGGAACUGAGAGGUUUAUCCCCCACACUGGUACUGAGACACGGACCAGACUCCUACGGGAGGCAGCAGUGAGGAAUAUUGGUCAAUGGGCGCGAGCCUGAACCAGCCAAGUCGCGUGAAGGAUGACUGUCUUAUGGAUUGUAAACUUCUUUUAGACGGGAAUAACAAGAGUCACGUGUGACUCCCUGCAUGUACCGUAUGAAUAAGCAUCGGCUAACUCCGUG